Molecule: unclassified non-coding RNA, 213 nt
Filed under: plant metagenome
Description: partial contains small subunit ribosomal RNA, internal transcribed spacer 1, and 5.8S ribosomal RNA
Source: RNAcentral
UUUCCGUAGGUGAACCUGCGGAAGGAUCAUUCAUAAUAAGUGUUUUAUGGCACUUUUUUAAAUCCAUAUCCACCUUGUGUGCAAUGUCAGGGUUGAUUUUUCUCUCGAGAGGAUCAACCCCAAACAUCAACUAUAUCUCGACUCUUUGUCUGAAAAAUAUUAUGAAUAAAACAAUUCAAAAUACAACUCUCAACAACGGAUCUCUUGGCUCUC